GUUUCAUUUAUCUGCAUUUGCACCUGCACCUCUUUUGGUCUUUACUGGUUUUCUCAUGCACUGAUGAACUCAGAGAUCCAUGCAUAGGUGCAAGUGUAAGUGCAGACAAAUGCCUUCUUGGUUUUUUCUCAGCUCUAAAGGUGUUCGAAGGAUAAAACAUUCUAUUUUUGGGCUAUCAUCUGUGCUCCAUAUCCAUCUAAGUCUGCAUGCCUACAAAUUAAUAUGUCAUGCUGUCUGUUGGUCUUUUUGAAACUUGUCCUUAUAACAGAUGUUUAUACAAAAUGAUGAAAGUUUGAAGUUGUUGCUGUUUCUUUGAUCGAUCGUGUAUAGUAUAGUGUGAGUUGUGUUCUUCUAUAUGCGUACUAGUUUGGUUGGUUAAGCUUUAAACCUAUAAUCUUUAUUAUGCAGUUUCAAUUUUACGAGCAAAAACAUUUGUGAAUGUAUUUUCAAGAUGCUUGUGCUUCCUUUUCUGCAGUCGUUAGGUUGAGGAUCACUGAACUACAUGAAGCCACAAACACUUCAAAUCUGACAUUUGAUGCCCCAAAAAAGAAAGAAAAAAAGUCCGUGACAUUUGAACUAAAAUUGGUAAAAUAUCUCACAUAUAGACAAAUAUCAAGAUCUUGUCAACAAAUCUUUAUUGGCGGUUUGCAACAUAUAUAUAUAUAUAUAUAUAUAUAUAUAAUUGCUACAAAUACAGUAACAAAAACCACAAACAAGCUUCUCCAACAAGAAGAAAAGGAGAGGAAGAGUUGCAUAUAAAGAUGGAUUGGUUUCAAUUGCCUCAGGGUAUACAUGACUUGUGCUUCUCUUUUUUUAUUUCUUUCCUGCUAAAGUACAUGAUGACUUGUGCUUCAUGGUGAAAGUUAAUUCUGGUUAAUUUGUUAGGUUUCUGUCUUCGGACUUUUUACUUGUUUUAGCUGACUUGUUCGAUUAAUACUGUGGUUUGAGUGUUAGUUUCUAAUAACUCUCUUUUGGUGGUAACAAAAUGAUCUUACACACCAAAAAAGAAGCAAUUAAAAACACACAACAAGAAAAAGACAAGGACAGGAAUUAAAGAUACAGAGCUGACAGAUGUUGGUUAUGUUAUGCCCAAUGGGGGAGGGUCCUGGUGAUGGUGUCCUUUGUUCCCCAUUAUUUCAUACUCAUAUAAACUUUUUAAUUAAUAGAACAAAGGAUUAGACGAGAUUAGCUCUUCAGUAUUGGUCAUUAGAUAUAUUCAUAUAUAACUAGUAAUACAGUGAACUACUGGUCAAUCAAUUUAUUAUUUGAUUUGUAAACUGGGAUACUUCAAAUUAUACAAAGCCCUGCUGCUGUCCAUUUAUUUUGUAUGACAUAAUAUAAUAUCUUAAUUUAAUACCAUUUGCAUGAUAAUUAAUGAAUGUAUUCUCAAGAGCUACUUAGUAGAACUUUCAAAGUCAUUGUUUAUGAUUGAGUCCCCAAAAA
Molecule: long non-coding RNA, 1443 nt
Organism: Prunus persica (peach)
Lineage: Eukaryota; Viridiplantae; Streptophyta; Magnoliopsida; Rosales; Rosaceae
Exons: 2
Source: RefSeq, a predicted model, not a curated record